Long non-coding RNA from Juglans microcarpa x Juglans regia, 231 nucleotides. RefSeq lists it as uncharacterized. The transcript has 5 exons. NCBI's taxonomy places the organism in Eukaryota, Viridiplantae, Streptophyta, Magnoliopsida, Fagales, Juglandaceae. The record is from RefSeq and is a predicted model, not a curated record.
UAGGAGUGGGAGAUGUAGAAGUAUGGGGAAAGUUGACUUGAGGAACUGUGUUUGUGGGUAGGCCUAGAAGUGGGAGAUGUCGAAGUAUGGGGAGUGUAGUUGGAGGAAGAAAUGGGUUCUUGGAGAGCAGCACCAGCAGCCACACCAGUAGUUCUUGCAAUAGUAACUGCUCUUCCAAUUGUCCUUAACAUGCUUCCUCCACUUCCACCUACCAUGCCUUUGCCAUCAAAC